UUGAAUGGAUAUUUGUACAGCCAUGUUCAUCGCCGCAUUAUUCACAAUAGCCAAAAAGUGGAAGCAACCCAAAUGUCCAUUGACAGAUGAAUGGAUAAACAA
Ceratotherium simum simum (southern white rhinoceros) is the source of this 102-nucleotide non-coding RNA. The record is from RefSeq and is a predicted model, not a curated record. Lineage: Eukaryota; Metazoa; Chordata; Mammalia; Perissodactyla; Rhinocerotidae.